AUUGAACGCUGGCGGCAUGCCUAACACAUGCAAGUCGAACGGCAGCACGGCAGUAGCAAUACUGUGGGUGGCGAGUGGCGGACGGGUGAGGAAUACGUCGGAAUCUGCCCAGUCGUGGGGGAUAACUAGCCGAAAGGUUAGCUAAUACCGCAUACGACCGAGAGGUGAAAGCGGGGGGACCGCAAGGCCUCGCGCGAUUGGAUGAGCCGACGUCGGAUUAGCUAGUUGGUGGGGUAAAGGCCCACCAAGGCGACGAUCCGUAGCUGGUCUGAGAGGAUGAUCAGCCACACUGGAACUGAGACACGGUCCAGACUCCUACGGGAGGCAGCAGUGGGGAAUAUUGGACAAUGGGCGCAAGCCUGAUCCAGCAAUGCCGCGUGUGUGAAGAAGGCC
This 393-nucleotide ribosomal RNA is filed under the name uncultured bacterium. RNAcentral's name for it is "bacterial SSU rRNA". It matches the Rfam family "Bacterial small subunit ribosomal RNA", at positions 29 to 416 of the family's 1533-position model. The record is from RNAcentral.